This 167-nucleotide ribosomal RNA is filed under the name uncultured bacterium. RNAcentral's name for it is "partial 16S rRNA". It matches the Rfam family "Bacterial small subunit ribosomal RNA", at positions 353 to 511 of the family's 1533-position model. The record is from RNAcentral.
UAGGGGAAAUCUUCCACAAUGGACGAAAGUCUGAUGGAGCAACGCCGCGUGAGUGAAGAAGGGUUUCGGCUCGUAAAACUCUGUUGUUAAAGAAGAACAUAUCUGAGAGUAACUGUUUCAGGUAUUGACGGUAUUUAACCAGAAAGCCACGGCUAACUACGUGCUAG